This 253-nucleotide ribosomal RNA is filed under the name uncultured bacterium. RNAcentral's name for it is "partial 16S ribosomal RNA". It matches the Rfam family "Bacterial small subunit ribosomal RNA", at positions 524 to 776 of the family's 1533-position model. The record is from RNAcentral.
UACGGAGGGUGCAAGCGUUGUCCGGAAUUACUGGGCGUAAAGCAGGUGCAGGCGGUUCGUUGUGUCGGGUGUGAAAUCCCAAGGCUUAACCUUGGAACUGCGCCCGAAACUGGCGGACUUGAGUGAGGGAGGGGAUGGUGGAAUUCUGGGUGUAGAGGUGAAAUUCGUAGAUAUCCAGAAGAAUACCGGUGGCGAAGGCGACCAUCUGGCCCUUUACUGACGCUCAGACCUGAAAGCGUGGGGAGCAAACAGA